RNAcentral lists this ribosomal RNA (3135 nucleotides) under Neochloris aquatica. RNAcentral describes it as "LSU rRNA". It matches the Rfam family "Bacterial large subunit ribosomal RNA". Lineage: Eukaryota; Viridiplantae; Chlorophyta; Chlorophyceae; Sphaeropleales; Neochloridaceae. The record is from RNAcentral.
GUCAAAAAAAAGAAGGCUCACGGUGAAGACCUAGGCUCUCAGAGACGAUGAAGGGCGCGAUACCGGCGAUACAGCUUUGGGGAGUUGGAAGAAAGCAUGGAUCCAAAGAUUCCCGAAUAGGGCAACCUCUAAGAACUUCUUACGAAUUCAUAACUAAGAAAGAGGCAACCUGGUGAACUGAAACAUCUCAGUAGCCAGAGGAGAAGAAAGCAAAAGCGAUUCCCUUAGUAGCGGCGAGCGAAAUGGGAUUAGUCUAAACUGAGAAUAUCAGGGUUGUGGGAAUACGGUUUUUUCUAUAAAUCUGUGUUUUUAAAAUUCUUUGUGUUUCCACAAAGAAUUUUAAAGGACUGUAUUUAUUAUAGAACACAAAAGAAGACCUACAUUUUUGAAAUGCUAGCAAACUUAGUGAUUUGUGACUAUGUAUUCACAAAUUACAAAAUAAAAUAGACGAAGCAGCUGAAUCCUGCACCAUAGAUGGUGAAAGUCCAGUAGUCUAAUUAUUAUUGGCUUAAUUAAUGAAACCGUUUAUCCCGAGUAGCAUGGGGCACGUGGAAUCCCGUGUGAAUCAGCGAGGACCACCUCGUAAGACUAAAUACUCCUGAGAGACCGAUAGCGAAAUAGUACAGCGAUGGAAAGGUGAAAAGAACCCCCGUAGGGGAGUGAAAUAGAACAUGAAAUCGUGAGCUGACAAGCAGUGGGAGGAUUUUGAAAUCUGACCGCGUGCCUGUUGAAGAAUGAGCCGGCGACUUAUAAGGAGUGGCAGGUUAAAGAGUUUUUAUCUGGAGCCUAAGCGAAAGCAAGUCUGAAUAGGGCAUCAAGUCACUUCUUAUGGACCCGAACCUGGAUGAUCUAACCAUGAGCAUGAUGAAGUUUAGGUAACACUGAAUGAAGGUCAGAACUGACCGAUGUUGAAAAAUCGGCAGAUGACUUGUGGUUAGCGGAGAAAUUCCAAUCGAAUUCAGAGCUAGCUGGUUCUCCCCGAAAUGCGUUGAGGCGCAGCGGUAAUGAUGAACUAUCUAAGGGUAGAGCAACUGUUUCGGUGCGGGCUGCGAAAGCGGUACCAAGUCGUGGCAAACUCCGAAUAUUAGAUAAGUCUUCCAGCUACCAGUGAGAGAGUCGGAGAUAAGUUUGAUUCUCAAGAGGGAAACAGCCCAGAUCACCAGCUAAGGCCCCUAAAUGAUUGCUAAGUGGAAAAGGAUGUGAGAAUGCUGAAACAACCAGGAAAUUUGCUUAGAAGCAGCCAUUUUUGAAAGAGUGCGUAAUAGCUCACUGGUAAAGCGUUCUUGCGCCGACAAUGGCCGGGACUAAGCAAUCUGCCGAAGCUGUGAGAGAAUUGUUUUCCUUUUUUCCAAGUGUUUUCGAAAGUGUUUAUCUAAAGAUAAACACUUUUGAAGUAAACACAAACACAGGGAACUGCAAAAGGAAAAAACAAUACUCGGUAGGGGAGCGUUCUGCUUAGGGUGAAGCUUUCACGUAAGUUUGAGUGGACUAUGCAGAAGUGAGAAUGUUGGCUUGAGUAACGAAAACAUUGGUGAGAAUCCAAUGCUCCGAAAACCUAAGGGUUCCUCCACUAGGUUCGUCCGUGGGGGGUUAGUCAGGACCUAAGAUGAGGCUAGUCAUUAGCGUAGUCGAUGGUAAACAGGUUAAUAUUCCUGUACUUCUUGAAAUAAGGUACCGAGGGACGAAGAAGGCUAAGUAAAGUCUGUAUAUGGAUUGCAGUGGAAACAUUCAAGACGCACCAAAUAGAAAAAAAACUAUUUGGAGUUAAGAUGUGACCCGCUGUGUUUUCACUUGUGAAAACAUGGUUUUAUUAUGUCAUACUUCCUAGAAAAGCUCGUAAACCUAUAUUAAUUAUUUCGGAACCUGUACCUAAAACCGACACAGGUAGGUUGGUAGAGAAUACUGAGGAGCGCAAGAGAACUCUCUCUAAGGAACUCGGCAAAUUGGCCCCGUAACUUCGGGAGAAGGGGUGCUUUUAUUUUGAAUAAAAGCCGCAGUGAAGAGGAUACGGCAACUGUUUACCAAAAACACAGGUCUCCGCAAAGUCGCAAGACAAUAUAUGGGGGCUGACGCCUGCCCAGUGCCGGAAGGUGAAGGAAGUUGGUUAUUUUGGGUAACUGAAAAAAGCUGACAACCGAAGCCCCGGUGAACGGCAGCUGUAACUAUGACAGUUCUAAGGUAGCGAAAUUCAUUGUCGAGUAAGUUUCGACCUGCACGAAAGGCGUAAUGAUCGUAUCACUGUCUCAGAGAGAGGCUUGGUGAAAUAGACUUGUCCGUGAAGAUGCGGACUAAUAACACUUGGACAGAAAGACCCUAUGAAGCUUGACUGUAUCCUGGAAUUGGGUUCGGGCUUUUCUUGCGCAGUCUAGGUGGGAGGCAUUGAAGAUUUCCUUCCGGGGAAGUUGGAGCCAUCAGUGAGAGACCACUCUGGAGAGGCUAGAAUCCUAAUGGUGAUCCUUAAAUCAGGACACUUGACGUUUUCAGGUGGGCAGUUUGUUUGGGGCGAACACCUCAUAAAAGGUAACUGAGGCGCGCAAAGGUUCCCUCAGUCUGGACGGAAAUCAGACUUAAGAGUGUAAAGGCAAAAGGGAGCUUGACUGUAAGACCUACAAGUCAAACAGGGGCGAAAGCCGGCCUUAGUGAUCCGACGGUUCCGUGUGGAAGGGCCGUCGCUCAACGAAUAAAAGUUACUCUAGGGAUAACAGGCUGAUCUUCUCCAAGAGUUCACAUCGACGAGAAGGUUUGGCACCUCGAUGUCGGCUCAUCACAUCCUGGGGCUGUAGUAGGUCCCAAGGGUUGGGCUGUUCGCCCAUUAAAGUGGUACGUGAGCUGGGUUCAAAACGUCGUAAGACAGUUUGGUCCAUAUCCGGUGUUAUCGUUAGAGCAUUGAGAGGACCCAUCCCUAGUACGAGAGGAUUGGGAUGGUCGUGCCUAUGGUGUAUCAGUUCUCUCUCCAGAGGGAAACGCUGAGUAGCUACGCACGGUUUAGAUAACCGCUGAAAGCAUCUAAGUGGGAAGCUUUCCUCAAGAUGAGUGCUCUCUAAGGCCUCAGCUAGACAAGCUGUUUGAUAGGUAUCCGGUGAAAGAUUCGUGAGAAUUUCAGCCAAGAUAUACUAAAGGCUAUUUGAUUUUGAC